RNAcentral lists this ribosomal RNA (623 nucleotides) under Xanthomonas sp. Ri3Ps_5332. RNAcentral describes it as "bacterial SSU rRNA". It matches the Rfam family "Bacterial small subunit ribosomal RNA", at positions 391 to 1004 of the family's 1533-position model. The record is from RNAcentral. Lineage: Bacteria; Pseudomonadati; Pseudomonadota; Gammaproteobacteria; Lysobacterales; Lysobacteraceae.
GCCAUGCCGCGUGGGUGAAGAAGGCCUAUCGGGUUGUAAAGCCCUUUUGUUGGGAAAGAAAAGCAGUCGGUUAAUACCCGAUUGUUCUGACGGUACCCAAAGAAUAAGCACCGGCUAACUUCGUGCCAGCAGCCGCGGUAAUACGAAGGGUGCAAGCGUUACUCGGAAUUACUGGGCGUAAAGCGUGCGUAGGUGGUUGUUUAAGUCCGUUGUGAAAGCCCUGGGCUCAACCUGGGAAUUGCAGUGGAUACUGGGCAACUAGAGUGUGGUAGAGGAUGGCGGAAUUCCCGGUGUAGCAGUGAAAUGCGUAGAGAUCGGGAGGAACAUCUGUGGCGAAGGCGGCCAUCUGGACCAACACUGACACUGAGGCACGAAAGCGUGGGGAGCAAACAGGAUUAGAUACCCUGGUAGUCCACGCCCUAAACGAUGCGAACUGGAUGUUGGGUGCAACUUGGCACGCAGUAUCGAAGCUAACGCGUUAAGUUCGCCGCCUGGGGAGUACGGUCGCAAGACUGAAACUCAAAGGAAUUGACGGGGGCCCGCACAAGCGGUGGAGUAUGUGGUUUAAUUCGAUGCAACGCGAAGAACCUUACCUGGUCUUGACAUCCACGGAACUUUCCAGA